Molecule: ribosomal RNA, 324 nt
Filed under: uncultured eukaryote
Lineage: Eukaryota
Description: partial 18S ribosomal RNA
Rfam family: Eukaryotic small subunit ribosomal RNA
Source: RNAcentral
CCCUUAGAUGCUCUGGGCCGCACGCGCGCUACACUGGUCGAUGCAACGAGUUUCUUUCCUUGGCCGACAGGCCUGGGCAAUCUUUGAACAUCGAUCGUGAUCGGGAUAGAUUCUUGUAAUUUUUGAUCUUAAACGAGGAAUUCCUAGUAAACGCAAGUCAUCAGCUUGCAUUGAUUACGUCCCUGCCCUUUGUACACACCGCCCGUCGACUCUACCGAUUGAAUGGUUCGGUGAAAACUUUGGACUGUGGCAUUGUCCUUCAUUGGACUUCGCCGUAGGAAAUUGUUUAAACCUCAUCAUUUAGAGGAAGAAUAAGUCGUAACA